RNAcentral lists this ribosomal RNA (467 nucleotides) under uncultured bacterium. Its description in RNAcentral is "partial 16S ribosomal RNA". It matches the Rfam family "Bacterial small subunit ribosomal RNA", at positions 28 to 507 of the family's 1533-position model. The record is from RNAcentral.
GACGAACGCUGGCGGCGUGCUUAACACAUGCAAGUCGAACGGAAAGGCCCUGCUUUUGUGGGUGCUCGAGUGGCGAACGGGUGAGUAACACGUGAGUAACCUGCCCUUGACUUUGGGAUAACUUCAGGAAACUGGGGCUAAUACCGGAUAGGAGCUCCUGCUGCAUGGUGGGGGUUGGAAAGUUUCGGCGGUUGGGGAUGGGCUCGCGGCUUAUCAGCUUGUUGGUGGGGUAGUGGCUUACCAAGGCUUUGACGGGUAGCCGGCCUGAGAGGGUGACCGGCCACAUUGGGACUGAGAUACGGCCCAGACUCCUACGGGAGGCAGCAGUGGGGAAUAUUGCACAAUGGGCGGAAGCCUGAUGCAGCAACGCCGCGUGCGGGAUGACGGCCUUCGGGUUGUAAACCGCUUUCGCCUGUGACGAAGCGUGAGUGACGGUAAUGGGUAAAGAAGCACCGGCUAACUACGUG